RNAcentral lists this ribosomal RNA (477 nucleotides) under uncultured bacterium. Its description in RNAcentral is "partial 16S ribosomal RNA". It matches the Rfam family "Bacterial small subunit ribosomal RNA", at positions 28 to 507 of the family's 1533-position model. The record is from RNAcentral.
GAUUAACGCUGGCGGCGUGCAUAACACAUGCAAGUCGAACGAUGAAACUUUAAUGAACCCUUCGGGGAGAAUUAAAGCGGAUUAGUGGCGAACGGGUGAGUAACGCUUGAGUAACCUGCCUUACACAAGGGGAUAGCCUUUGGAAACGAAGAAUAAUACCCUAUAAAACCAUCAAAGCACAUGCAAUUAUGGUCAAAGUGAUAGCGGUGUAAGAUGGACUUGCGUCUGAUUAGCUAGUUGGUGAGAUAAAAGCCCACCAAGGCAACGAUCAGUAGCCGGCUUGGGGGAGUGUACGGCCACAUUGGGACUGGGACACGGCCCAGACUCCUACGGGAGGCAGCAGUGGGGAAUUUUGCACAAUGGGGGAAACCCUGAUGCAGCGACGCCGCGUGAUUUAGAAGGCCUUCGGGUUGUAAAAAUCUUUUGUAUAGGAAGAAAAUGACAGUACUAUACGAAUAAGGUCCGGCUAAUUACGUG